CGUUCGGCGCUCUGAUUGGCCAGCGCAAACAAACCAACCAAUGAGAACGCCGAACGCG
Molecule: non-coding RNA, 58 nt
Filed under: Spodoptera frugiperda (fall armyworm)
Lineage: Eukaryota; Metazoa; Arthropoda; Insecta; Lepidoptera; Noctuidae
Source: RNAcentral